CUGGGUUCUGCUCACAGGGGACAUUGUGACACAUCACUGGUCCCAGCACCAUAGUGAUGUCAGUUUCCUACCAGAACUCAACUCACAGAGGGGAUACACAUAUAUCCUUGGUUCAGUACUCAGGUGAUGUGACUCUCCUGCCUGCUUCUGCCUACAGGCACAGUAUCCGACAACUGGGAUUGCCACUCUCACACAUGGACAAAGCCCACAGGGAUGAGGCCUCAUUAUGUUGCUUAGGCUGGAGUGCAGUAGCUAGUCACAAACACAAUCAUGGUGCAUUACAGCCUGGGCUCAAAGGGUCCUCCUGACUUAGCCUCCCGAGCCGUUGGGACUAAAGGGACAUGUCACCACACCCGGCUAUGUUUUUAAAAACCACUUUUACACUAUUGCACAUUUUUGGACACUGGGAACAAACAGAUUUUGACUCUCAAGAAAAAAGUACUUCAUGGCACAUUAAACAAUGAGUGAAUGAGUUUACAAAACACAAGAGGCAGGGUAGUUAUUCCAAAAUGACAAGAAACAACAUUGUGCCUUUGCUUUUGUUUGAAGAGAAAUAAACUGUUUCCACUCAAGUUUUAAAUGCCAAAAUAGCUAAUUACUGUUAAAAUGUCACCAAAAUUAGUAACAUUACUCAGAAAAUCAACUAUCUCCAACAGAAACAAUUUUAGUUACCUUUUACAAAAACUACGUUGUAACUUUCAUUUCUAAAGGUCUUACAUUUCCUGGGUAUUAUCAUAAACCACCUUGUUAGAUUUCAAAUUAACUAAUUCUAACCCAACCCAAAUUAAAAAUUGCUCACAUUCCAAAGCAAGAAAUACUAUUGCAGGCCAGGCGUGGUGGCUCACGCCUGUAAUCCCAGCACUUUGGGAGGCCGAGGUGGGCGGAUCACCUGAGGUCGGGAGUUCAAGACCAGCC
RNAcentral lists this long non-coding RNA (915 nucleotides) under Homo sapiens (human). RNAcentral describes it as "HSALNT0385583". The record is from RNAcentral. Lineage: Eukaryota; Metazoa; Chordata; Mammalia; Primates; Hominidae.